This is a long non-coding RNA of Saccostrea echinata, 610 nucleotides long. RefSeq lists it as uncharacterized. Lineage: Eukaryota; Metazoa; Mollusca; Bivalvia; Ostreida; Ostreidae. The transcript is spliced from 3 exons. The record is from RefSeq and is a predicted model, not a curated record.
UACAUAUGCCAGAAUCAUAUGGACCGCAGACUGGCCCUGGUGAUUCCGUUAAGAAAAAAGAGGAAAAAUCAGUGCUUGUGCUCAUUGGUCAUUGGACAAAGGGUGUAUGCCAGAAUUUUUUCAAGAACAGUCUGAAUCUGACAUGGAAAAAAUGAAGAAAAACAGCCUUCCUGUUUAUAAAUCUACAUUCUGACAAAGGGUAAGAAAGAAAUUCAGGAGUUCUUAAAUUGCCCUUGGAGUUCUUGGAUUGCAUCAAACUGCUAAAAGACCUUAACAAAAACAGCGUCUUGAAAAUAAAAAUGAAAAUAUUCAGUGAAAAAAAAUGAUGAAAGAGCCACUAAAAAUCUUCAAGCCUUUGAGCUGAAAUCUGGAAGUCAAUCUGUGGACUUUACUAGUAAGUCAUAAUUACUAAGUCAUCAUUUGUGUAUAAUAAAUACACUACACUGUAAACACUUGUUAAAAUGUGUAUAAUUUUUAGAUAUAAUUUGUAUCUCAUAGACUUCAAUAGUUUCAUGUAAUUUAAGUAAUAAUGAAAAUUUCCUGUUGUCUAGCUAGAUUAGAAACUAUUAUUGUCCAAUUUUGGAUAUUGUGAAAUAAUUCAUCUAGUAUG